GUGAAUAUUCUCCAAUCAAUCAUAUGGAUCUCAAGGAUGUGGCGAAAUGUCCUCCUUGUUUUCCGCUCACAUAUGACCCUUUUCUAUAAAUGUGCACCUGCUGGAAGCGUUUCAACCUUCCAUUUUUUAAACUACAAACUCUCGAGGAACAUGUAAAUGUCAUUCAAUCCGCAAUAAAUAAA
RNAcentral lists this unclassified non-coding RNA (182 nucleotides) under uncultured fungus. RNAcentral describes it as "sequence contains ITS1, 5.8S rRNA gene". Lineage: Eukaryota; Fungi. The record is from RNAcentral.